GACGUAGGGCGCGAGCGUUGUCCGGAUUUAUUGGGCGUAAAGAGCUCGUAGGCGGCUUGUCGCGUCGACUGUGAAAACCCGUGGCUCAACCAUGCGGUCUGCAGUCGAUACGGGCAGGCUAGAAUUCGGUAGGGGAGACUGGAAUUCCUGGUGUAGCGGUGAAAUGCGCAGAUAUCAGGAGGAACACCGGUGGCGAAGGCGGGUCUCUGGGCCGAUAUUGACGCUGAGGCGCGAAAGCUAGGGGAGCAAACAGG
RNAcentral lists this ribosomal RNA (254 nucleotides) under uncultured bacterium. RNAcentral's name for it is "partial 16S ribosomal RNA". It matches the Rfam family "Bacterial small subunit ribosomal RNA", at positions 524 to 776 of the family's 1533-position model. The record is from RNAcentral.